RNAcentral lists this ribosomal RNA (427 nucleotides) under uncultured bacterium. RNAcentral describes it as "bacterial SSU rRNA". It matches the Rfam family "Bacterial small subunit ribosomal RNA", at positions 355 to 774 of the family's 1533-position model. The record is from RNAcentral.
UGGGGAAUUUUGGACAAUGGGCGCAAGCCUGAUCCAGCCAUGCCGCGUGCAGGAUGAAGGCCUUCGGGUUGUAAACUUCUUUUGUACGGAACGAAAAGACUCCUUCUAAUAAAGGGGGUCCAUUACGGUACCGUAAGAAUAAGCACCGGCUAACUACGUGCCAGCAGCCGCUGUAAUACGUAGGGUGCGAGCGUUAAUCGGAAUUACUGUGCGUAAAGCGUGCGCAGGCGGUUACAUAAGACAGAUGUGAAAUCCCCGGGCUCAACCUGGGACCUGCAGUUGUGACUGUAUAGCUAGAGUACGGUAGAGGGGGAUGGAAUAACGCGUGUAGCAGUGAAAUGAGUAGAUAUGAGGAGGAACACCGAUAGCGAAGGCAAUCCCCUGGACACGUACUGACGCUCAUGCACGAAAGCGUGGGGAGCAAACA